This 557-nucleotide ribosomal RNA is filed under the name uncultured Zopfiella. RNAcentral's name for it is "eukaryotic LSU rRNA". The stretch from base 194 to 347 matches the Rfam family "5.8S ribosomal RNA". Lineage: Eukaryota; Fungi; Ascomycota; Sordariomycetes; Sordariales; Chaetomiaceae. The record is from RNAcentral.
UCUUGGUCAUUUAGAGGAAGUAAAAGUCGUAACAAGGUCUCCGUUGGUGAACCAGCGGAGGGAUCAUUAAAGAGUUUUAGAACUCCCAACCAUUGUGAACGAACCGCUGUGCCCAGGCUUGGGUACCCCCUAAGCCGGCGGCAUGCAAACUCUUACUUUAGUGGAUAUCUGAGUAGCUUAUACAAUAAGUCAAAACUUUCAACAACGGAUCUCUUGGUUCUGGCAUCGAUGAAGAACGCAGCGAAAUGCGAUACGUAAUGUGAAUUGCAGAAUUCAGUGAAUCAUCGAAUCUUUGAACGCACAUUGCGCCCGCUAGUAUUCUGGCGGGCAUGCCUGUUCGAGCGUCAUUACAACCAUCAAGCCCUAGGCUUGCGUUGGGGACCUGCGGCCACCGCAGCCCCCUAAAAGCAGUGGCGGUCUCGCUGUCAUACCGAGCGCAGUAGCAACCCUCGCUCCGGGCGUGGCAGCGGGCUUCCGGCCGUGAAACCCUUACUAAGGUUGACCUCGGAUCAGGUAGGAAUACCCGCUGAACUUAAGCAUAUCAAUAAGCGGAGGAA